GGUUAAGCGACUAAGCGUACACGGUGGAUGCCCUGGCAGUCAGAGGCGAUGAAGGACGUGCUAAUCUGCGAUAAGCGUCGGUAAGGUGAUAUGAACCGUUAUAACCGGCGAUUUCCGAAUGGGGAAACCCAGUGUGAUUCGUCACACUAUCAUUACGUGAAUACAUAGCGUAAUGAAGCGAACCGGGGGAACUGAAACAUCUAAGUACCCCGAGGAAAAGAAAUCAACCGAGAUUCCCCCAGUAGCGGCGAGCGAACGGGGAGCAGCCCAGAGUCUGAAUCAGCUUGUGUGUUAGUGGAACGGUCUGGAAAGUCCGACGGUACAGGGUGAUAGUCCCGUACACCAAAAUGCACAGGUUGUGAACUCGAAGAGUAGGGCGGGACACGUGGUAUCCUGUCUGAAUAUGGGGGGACCAUCCUCCAAGGCUAAAUACUCCUGACUGACCGAUAGUGAACCAGUACCGUGAGGGAAAGGCGAAAAGAACCCCGGCGAGGGGAGUGAAAAAGAACCUGAAACCGUGUACGUACAAGCAGUGGGAGCAUCCUUUUGGGUGUGACUGCGUACCUUUUGUAUAAUGGGUCAGCGACUUAUAUUCUGUAGCAAGGUUAACCGUAUAGGGGAGCCGAAGGGAAACCGAGUCUUAACUGGGCGUUAAGUUGCAGGGUAUAGACCCGAAACCCGGUGAUCUAGCCAUGGGCAGGUUGAAGGUUGGGUAACACUAACUGGAGGACCGAACCGACUAAUGUUGAAAAAUUAGCGGAUGACUUGUGGCUGGGGGUGAAAGGCCAAUCAAACCGGGAGAUAGCUGGUUCUCCCCGAAAGCUAUUUAGGUAGCGCCUCGUGAACUCAUCUUCGGGGGUAGAGCACUGUUUCGGCUAGGGGGUCAUCCCGACUUACCAACCCGAUGCAAACUGCGAAUACCGAAGAAUGUUAUCACGGGAGACACACGGCGGGUGCUAACGUCCGUCGUGAAGAGGGAAACAACCCAGACCGCCAGCUAAGGUCCCAAAGUCAUGGUUAAGUGGGAAACGAUGUGGGAAGGCACAGACAGCCAGGAUGUUGGCUUAGAAGCAGCCAUCAUUUAAAGAAAGCGUAAUAGCUCACUGGUCGAGUCGGCCUGCGCGGAAGAUGUAACGGGGCUAAACCAUGCACCGAAGCUGCGGCAGCGACACUAUGUGUUGUUGGGUAGGGGAGCGUUCUGUAAGCCGUUGAAGGUGUAUCGUGAGGUAUGCUGGAGGUAUCAGAAGUGCGAAUGCUGACAUAAGUAACGAUAAUGCGGGUGAAAAACCCGCACGCCGGAAGACCAAGGGUUCCUGUCCAACGUUAAUCGGGGCAGGGUGAGUCGACCCCUAAGGCGAGGCCGAAAGGCGUAGUCGAUGGGAAACAGGUUAAUANNUAAUAUUCCUGUACUUGGUGUUACUGCGAAGGGGGGACGGAGAAGGCUAUGUUAGCCGGGCGACGGUUGUCCCGGUUUAAGCAUGUAGGCGGAGGUUCCAGGUAAAUCCGGUACCUUUUUAACGCUGAGGUGUGAUGACGAGGCACUACGGUGCUGAAGUAACAAAUGCCCUGCUUCCAGGAAAAGCCUCUAAGCAUCAGGUAACACGAAAUCGUACCCCAAACCGACACAGGUGGUCAGGUAGAGAAUACCAAGGCGCUUGAGAGAACUCGGGUGAAGGAACUAGGCAAAAUGGUGCCGUAACUUCGGGAGAAGGCACGCUGAUAUGUAGGUGAAGUGAUUUACUCAUGGAGCUGAAAUCAGUCGAAGAUACCAGCUGGCUGCAACUGUUUAUUAAAAACACAGCACUGUGCAAACACGAAAGUGGACGUAUACGGUGUGACGCCUGCCCGGUGCCGGAAGGUUAAUUGAUGGGGUUAUCCGUAAGGAGAAGCUCUUGAUCGAAGCCCCGGUAAACGGCGGCCGUAACUAUAACGGUCCUAAGGUAGCGAAAUUCCUUGUCGGGUAAGUUCCGACCUGCACGAAUGGCGUAAUGAUGGCCAGGCUGUCUCCACCCGAGACUCAGUGAAAUUGAACUCGCUGUGAAGAUGCAGUGUACCCGCGGCAAGACGGAAAGACCCCGUGAACCUUUACUAUAGCUUGACACUGAACACUGGUCCUUGAUGUGUAGGAUAGGUGGGAGGCUUUGAAGUGUGGACGCCAGUCUGCAUGGAGCCAUCCUUGAAAUACCACCCUUUAAUGGCUGGUGUUCUAACGUGGACCCGUAAUCCGGGUUGCGGACAGUGUCUGGUGGGUAGUUUGACUGGGGCGGUCUCCUCCUAAAGAGUAACGGAGGAGCACGAAGGUUAGCUAAUCCUGGUCGGACAUCAGGAGGUUAGUGCAAAGGCAUAAGCUAGCUUGACUGCGAGAGUGACGGCUCGAGCAGGUGCGAAAGCAGGUCUUAGUGAUCCGGUGGUUCUGAAUGGAAGGGCCAUCGCUCAACGGAUAAAAGGUACUCCGGGGAUAACAGGCUGAUACCGCCCAAGAGUUCAUAUCGACGGCGGUGUUUGGCACCUCGAUGUCGGCUCAUCACAUCCUGGGGCUGAAGUAGGUCCCAAGGGUAUGGCUGUUCGCCAUUUAAAGUGGUACGCGAGCUGGGUUUAGAACGUCGUGAGACAGUUCGGUCCCUAUCUGCCGUGGGCGCUGGAGAAUUGAGGGGGGCUGCUCCUAGUACGAGAGGACCGGAGUGGACGCAUCACUGGUGUUCGGGUUGUCAUGCCAAUGGCAUUGCCCGGUAGCUAAAUGCGGAAGAGAUAAGUGCUGAAAGCAUCUAAGCACGAAACUUGCCCCGAGAUGAGUUCUCCCUGAGACUUUAAGUCUCCUGAAGGAACGUUGAAGACGACGACGUUGAUAGGUCGGGUGUGUAAGCGUAGCGAUACGUUGAGCUAACCGAUACUAAUGAACCGUGAGGCUUAACCUU
Molecule: ribosomal RNA, 2915 nt
Filed under: Citrobacter freundii
Lineage: Bacteria; Pseudomonadati; Pseudomonadota; Gammaproteobacteria; Enterobacterales; Enterobacteriaceae
Description: 23S ribosomal RNA
Rfam family: Bacterial large subunit ribosomal RNA
Source: RNAcentral